AACGACUACAAAGAGACACAAAGUGACUACAAAGAGACACAAAAUAACUACAAAGAGACGCAGUUACCACAGAGAGUCUAAACCACUUUGAGUCUCUGCAUCUCUCUCCUCUGGCCAUUACAAAGUCUUAUGAUUCUCCCGUGGUAACGUCCGCUCCACCUUCCGCUUCAUCCGUCUCUCCACAUCUUUAUGUCUACAAAUCUUCUGUGGUGGUGUUUGUUUUGUAAUGGAGGUCACGAGAUGAUCAUUAAUUCACUAAACUGAACUAUCUGUUCUCCCAUAUUGCACCUGGAACUUCUGAUCUACUGUCUUAAUAAAUUGAAUCCUCAUUAUGAAGUGUGUCGACACUCGUGUUAGUUAAUUAAUGUUCUAUUUAAACAGACUUAGUGGGAUCAACAUGAGGAGCUUGUUGUGUAGUAAAACAGUUUAUAUCCGUCUUCCUCUUCACUCACACAGACCAUUUGUUCUGCUGAUGUGCAUUUCAAUGACUAUCUGAAGGUAAAUGUGAUGGACGUGUGUUUGAUCCAAUCAGACGCUGCUGAGAGAAAGGGGCGGAGCUCUGGAGGUCCGACGGCAGCUGGAGGCGGAGCUACAGGUGCUACGAGCCAAUCACAGGACCUCCUCACCCCUCCUCCCUCGCUGGUCGGUGUCUCUCCACUGGCUCUUCAGGCCCCGCCCCAGCCCCCUCAGGCUCCCCCCCUGCAGGUGCAGGUGCAGCAGCUGUCGAAGGAGAAGCAGAGCGUGGAGGCGGAGCUGCAUCGCUGUCAGGAGGCGGAGCGAGAGGCCAGUGAAAGAGUCCACAGGUUGGAGCGUCUGGUGGAGGUUUUGAGGAAGAAGGUCGGGACAGGAAGUGUCCGAGCCGUCAGCUGAUCUUCAGAUGUUUCUUUAGUAAAAUUAUGAUUAUUUCUGUGUAUUUCUUUUCUCUUUAUUCUAAAUAAAUCUUUACAGCCUUAAAGUUCAUGAAAACAUGAAACAUUUGAAGUGAUUUUCUAAUGUUUUUGUCAUAUUUUGCACUAAAUAUGAAGUUUAUGAUUGAGUGCUUUCUUUUUUUCUUCAUUUGGUGUUGACAUGAAAUAAA
Molecule: long non-coding RNA, 1078 nt
Organism: Cottoperca gobio
Lineage: Eukaryota; Metazoa; Chordata; Actinopteri; Perciformes; Bovichtidae
Source: Ensembl